RNAcentral lists this ribosomal RNA (548 nucleotides) under uncultured Dermateaceae. Its description in RNAcentral is "eukaryotic LSU rRNA". The stretch from base 201 to 354 matches the Rfam family "5.8S ribosomal RNA". The record is from RNAcentral. Lineage: Eukaryota; Fungi; Ascomycota; Leotiomycetes; Helotiales; Dermateaceae.
UCCGUAGGUGAACCUGCGGAGGGAUCAUUACAGAGUUCAUGCCCUUCGGGGUAGAUCUCCCACCCUAUGUAUUUUAUACCUUUGUUGCUUUGGCAGGCCGUUGGGCUCCGGCUUAGCUACUGGCUUUCGCUAGUAAGUGCCUGCCAGAGGACCCCCAAACUCUGAAUGUUAGUGUCGUCUGAGUACUACAUAAUAGUUAAAACUUUCAACAACGGAUCUCUUGGUUCUGGCAUCGAUGAAGAACGCAGCGAAAUGCGAUAAGUAAUGUGAAUUGCAGAAUUCAGUGAAUCAUCGAAUCUUUGAACGCACAUUGCGCCCCUUGGUAUUCCGAGGGGCAUGCCUGUUCGAGCGUCAUUACAACCCUCAAGCUCUGCUUGGUAUUGGGCGUCACCAGAAACGGUGUGCUUUAAAAUCAGUGGCGGUGCCUCUUGGCUCUAAGCGUAGUAAUUUUCUCGCUACAGUUGCCUGGUGGAUGCUUGCCAGCAACCCCUAAUUUUUACAGGUUGACCUCGGAUCAGGUAGGGAUACCCGCUGAACUUAAGCAUAUC